CUUCCAGCCGGGUGCUGAGCACAAACAUCUGAGGCUCAGAAAGGCUGGCGUCCACGGGGACAGGAAGGGGGGCUGGCGGGGACGCCUGGACCAGUCUGUCUGGUCCACUAGACCACUGAUCUCCGGUGCCUUCUUGGAAAUGACGCGCCACACCUGAAGCCUGCAGGUGCUGAGGCCACAUUCGAUCAGACCCAAGCUUUGGGAGACCCCUGGGGAAACUUCCCACUUCCUGUCCUGAGACCAGGAACUCAUCAGAGAAACUUUGUGGAAAAUGAACUGAAGGAUGCCACCCAGGGAGAGCAUCGCCUGAGAUCCCAUCAUGCAGGCCUUCCCACAAGGGCCCGGCAGCAUGACAAGGUGAAGGCAGAGUAUGUGCAUCUCAACCACCCACUCACCCUCUUGACCAGAGAGCGCGAUUUGGCCGUGAAGGAGAAACACCAGCUCCAAGCCAAGCUGGAGAACCUAGAACAGGUCCUGAAGGUAGGCUGGCUUUCUGCAUUUGGGACCACUUCUGCUCUUUGUGAGGUCAGU
This 531-nucleotide long non-coding RNA is filed under the name Rhinopithecus roxellana (golden snub-nosed monkey). Its description in RNAcentral is "lncRNA (ENSRROG00000045997.1)". Lineage: Eukaryota; Metazoa; Chordata; Mammalia; Primates; Cercopithecidae. The record is from RNAcentral.